RNAcentral lists this non-coding RNA (26 nucleotides) under Rattus norvegicus (Norway rat). Lineage: Eukaryota; Metazoa; Chordata; Mammalia; Rodentia; Muridae. The record is from RNAcentral.
UGGCAUUUGCUAUACACAUUGUCCAG